Molecule: long non-coding RNA, 1088 nt
Filed under: Nicotiana benthamiana
Lineage: Eukaryota; Viridiplantae; Streptophyta; Magnoliopsida; Solanales; Solanaceae
Description: long non-coding RNA (NBEN_LNC010659)
Source: RNAcentral
GAGCUGCACAUUUUUACCAAUACAACAUUAUUCCGAAAAUACAGAGAGCUUAAGUAUUUACACUUUACCAUGAGAUACUUAAAGCACAGCUAAACACAAAAAGAUAAGAUUUUUAAGAGAAAGUUUUGACGUUACUUCAUGUGUUUAGUUCCACUGCUUAGUUAUUAUCAAUAUCCUAUCCAUAGGAUUUAUACAUUAUUUAUAACAAAUAAGUCCUUAACUAUCUAUAACCACAACCAAGCGAAAACUCAGACAGCCACUAUAGAAAUUAAAGAGAACAAGAUUCCAAUUUAUUGUUCUACAUAUAACAAGUUCAAAAUUUAAAAUUUCAGAACACACCUAUUAGCAAAAAUAACUGAAAAUAUCAAAUAAAGCUCUGAAAUGGCAAAAGAUAUUUAGCAACAAUAACAACAGCUCCACAAGUCAACCAAAUAAAUCCAAAUCGCAACUGAAAAAAUGGACAGAAAACCAAAACUGCCAAAACUCUGAACCCCAGCGACAAAAACUCUAAAAACCAUACUUAUAUUUUUUUGUAUUUAGAAAAGAUGCUGAAUCCAAAAAAGAAAAGGCCUCAAAAUAAGAAAAACUUCAAACCCUAAAAAUUUUACUGCUAAAUUUUCUAAAGAUUUUCUCAAGAUUUUUUAUUUGAUUUUCCUUCGAUUUUCCUUGACCUCGAAAAGAAAAACUUAACCCAUAGAUAUAACCUUCAAAAAUCUUCAAGUUUCCACCCAAAAAAUCUGAAAAUCUUUACAUUUUUGAACGAUUUCUGGGACAAAUGGAAGGCAUGGAUCGAUUUACAUCUAUGCACUGCUCUCAUUCACUCAGCAAAUCAUUUUAAUCAUGCAAAAGUUGAGCGAAUAUUUGUUCCUUUCUGACAAAACCAUUGGAAUCAAAUGACGUAGAGGGGAUAGGUCCCAUUGAACUCGCCUGAGUCCAUGCGAGUUGAGGGAUGAAUCGGUCAAAGAAGAUGAUGAAUAGUGUAAGGGCGUCAUUUCUGGGUUACUUAGGUUCAGGGUUUGAAAUGGGAGAAUGCUAUAAGAGGGCUUUUAUAUGUGAAGGGGAACUUGGCAGGUCGGUUUGUUUUGUUA